This 3355-nucleotide long non-coding RNA is filed under the name Sus scrofa (pig). RNAcentral describes it as "lncRNA (ENSSSCG00000056355.1)". The record is from RNAcentral. Lineage: Eukaryota; Metazoa; Chordata; Mammalia; Artiodactyla; Suidae.
UUUAUAGCUGGAGGUGACCCACAUUUUUGUGGGACAAUGGAGACACGAAAUAGUUUUCACUACACUAUUCUUACUCCCUGUAAAGGAAAGGCUUUUUUACUUAUUAGUUGGGUAUGAACUUUCUGAAUCUUUUUUUUUUUUUUUUUUUUUUUUGUCUUUUUGCCAUUUCUUGGGCCGCUCCUGCCGCAUAUGGUGGUUCCCAGGCUAGGGGUCCAAUCGAAGCUGUAGCCACUGGCCUAUGCCACAGCCACAGCAACGCAGGGAUCCGAGCCAUGUCUGCAGCCUACACCACAGCUCAUGGCAACGCUGGAUCCCUAACCCACUGAGCAAGGUUAGGGAUUGAAACUGCAACCUCAUGGAUCCUAGUUGGAUUCGUUAACCACUGAGCCACCUUGGGAACUCCUGAACUUUCUGAAUCUUAUUAGAGCUAUAUGCUAUCUUGUGAGAUGUCUCUUACAUCUUUAGUUAAGCCAUAAUAAAAUUCUGAUUGUUUUGAGUUCUAUUCAUCAAUAGCAAGAUGAUGGAUUCUUUAAAAAAAAAAACAAACUUUCAUCAAAAUCAGCUAUCAAAUAAGUACUUAAAGGAGAAUCAUACCAAAAGGUAAAAAGUACAAAACUGAGUCUUAAUUAAUUCCUUAUUAGGAUGAAAGGACAGAAAUCAGACUUUAAAAUCCCACAUAAAUUCCCUUAUUAAAUGUCACCCUAUUUCCUCAGUAAUUCCUAAGCCUCUCCUACAAAUAACCAGGGAAUAAAUGAGCUGGAGUGUAAUAUUCAAGGGCUAAAAGAAACAAUUCUUUUUUUUUUUUUUUGCAAACUUCUGCAAAACCAGACGUACAACUGUAGAAAGAAGGCCCAUCUAUUUUUGCCAGUCCUAAGACCUUACCUAGUCCUCUAAAGAUGCUUGUAGACAUUUUAAAAGAUCAGGAUAUUGGAGCAAAGGUGUCCUGUACUUCAUCAAUAUUUUAGUAAUAAUUACCCUAAGACUUAUGAUAGACAAAUAUAUUCUGAAAUUCCUAGAAAAAAAAACUUACACUUUCUUUCUCUGUCCCCUAAAGUUAUAGAUCUUAACAUUAAAGUGUAAACACAACCCAUAUCACCUAAGACUGAACCUGACUUAUCUCACUCAGUAGACUUGAAACUAAAGAAAGACAGAGGUGGUGGGAGGAGAAUGGGAGGGGGGGGGGAGAGAGACCUUUUCAAACACAAACUGCUAAAAAAUUUCUCUUGUCUAAACUAAUAAAUAACAACACUCUUCAAGUUGCUUGUCAAGGGGAAACACAGAUUUUAAAAGUCUUCUCCACAAAUAAUAAAAAUAACUUUAGCCAUCUGACUAAAUAAUCUGUUAUUUAUAAACUUGUGGGUUUUAUAUUGUAUCUGAAUCAUGAUUAAAGUUUUAAAAUGAGAUCUCUUGUUGUGCUUGUUUACAUUUCUAUAUGUAUAUGUUAUAUCCAGAUGGUACUGCCAAAAUUAAUUUGUAAAAGAGCUCUAUUUAAUUGGCUUUAUACCAACAAACACUAUAUAAAAAUUCUCAAAAGUAUAAUAAAAACUAAUCCAAAUGUUUUUCAAGUUCACAUGAUCUAAGAUAAUCUUUAAUAAACAAAAGUUAAUUUUAAGCUUGUUGUUUCAAUUAAUACAGGUAUAUCUUCAGAGUUAGCAUUAAAUACAUUGAGGAUAAACAACUUUUGUUCAAUUUGGGUUUGCUAGUGAAAGGAACUAAUGUUUGCUCUGUUGCAAAUUCUGUCAGCAAAAAAAACCCCUAAAAAUAAUAAAACAUAAGAUAAUGAUUAACUAUUUUAAUGUCUCAUGAAAUGUUUAUGAAUAAUCUAGGAAUGAUUAUUAAUAACAAAUUAAUUAGAUGUAACUGAUAAGAAUUUUAGGUUAAUUUUUUUUUUUUGGUCCUUUGUCUUUGUUGUUGUUGUUGUUGUUAUUGUUGCUAUUUCUUGGGCCGUUCCCGCGGCAUAUGGAGGUUCCCAGGCUAGGGGUUGAAUCGGAGCUGUAGCCACCGGCCUACGCCAGAGCCACAGCAAUGCGGGAUCCGAGCCGCGUCUGCAACCUACACCACAGCUCACAGCAACGCCGGAUCGUUAACCCACUGAGCAAGGCCAGGGAUCGAACCCGCAACCUCAUGGUUCCUAGUCGGAUUCGUUAACCACUGCGCCACGACGGGAACUCCGGUUAAUUUUUAACAAUAAUAAUUUUGCUAUGUCUACUUGACUAGUUUCCUAUACCUCUUUGGUUUGUUAAAUUGAAUGAUGAAGAUUCACUGAAUGCCUAGAUCAUUUCCAACUAGGAAAAAAAUUCUCAAAAUAUUAUUGCUAAACAAGUCUAAGGUUAUACCUACUUUUGACCUCUUAUCACAGAGAGAUCAAGUAGAUUUGGCUUGGAGUUCCCCUGGUGGCACAGCCGAAACGAAUCUGACUAGGAACCAUGAGGUUGCAGGUUCGAUUCCUGGCCUCACUCAGUGGGUUAAGGAUCUGGCAUUGCUGUGAGCUGUGAUGUGGGUCGGCAGACACGGCUUGGAUCUGGCGUUGUUGUGGCUCUGCUGUAGGCCGGCAGCUGUAGCUCUAAUUAGACUUUAGGCUGGGAACCUCCACGUGCCAUAGUUGCAGCCCUAAAAAGACAAAAGACAAAAAAAAAAAAAGUAGGUUUGGCUCUAUUAGUAAAUAUAACUUGUGUUUUAGUGAAAGAUUUUACUAUAUAGUAGCAUAUCUUCCUAGAGGAAAUUAUAAAAUGUAUUUAUAAGUUUGCCAACCAACAAAAUAUUAAUACAGUUCAACAUUGUUCAGAUCUUUAUUUUCACUAAAAAAAUUUAAAAGGUUAAGAAGUCUAAUUAAUGUAUGUGUUUAAAACUAUCAGACAUAAGAGUAGAUAUAGAAUCUGUUUGUGGUAAGAAAAGUUUUAAAGUAUGAAGACAUUUUUUGUGAGGGGAAAAAGGGAUUUUGUUCUAAAUAAGGUUAAUUCUAAAUGGGAAAGGAAACAAGGGACAAACUAAACUGGACAAUGAUAACUAUCAAAGUUUUAUGAAUAAAGGAAUUUCAGGAAAGGGAUUUUAUGUGUGUGGUCAGAACUGGAUAAGAUUGAAAUAAAUUACACAACCUACCAAGAAUGAACCAGGAAGAAAUUGAAAAUAUGAACUGACCAAUCACAAGUACUGAAAUUGAAAAUGUGAUUUAAAAAAGAAAAAAAAAACCUUCCAAAAAACAAAAUUCCAGGACCUGAUGGCUACAGAGGAAAAUUCUAUCAAAUAUCCAGAGAAUUAACACCUAUUCUUCCAAAACUCUUCUAAAAACUAGCAGAGGAAGGAAUACUCCCAAGCUCAUUCUAUGAGGCCACCAUCACCUGAUACCAAAACCAGA